GACGAACGCUGGCGGCGUGCUUAACACAUGCAAGUCGAACGGAAAGGCCCUGCUCUUGUGGGUUGCUCGAGUGGCGAACGGGUGAGUAACACGUGAGUAACCUGCCCUUGACUUUCGGAUAACUUCAGGAAACUCGGGCUCAUACCGGAUAUGAGCUCCUGCUCCAUGUUGUUCGAUGGAAAGUUUCGGCGUUUCUGGAUGGACUCGCGGCUCAUCAGCUUGUUGGUGGGGUAGUGGCUUACCAAGGCUUUGACGGAUAGCCGGCAUGAGCGGGUGAACGGCGACAAGGGUACUGAGAGAGGGCGCAGAAGGCAACCGGACGCAGCAGUGGGGAGUAUGGCAGAGUGAGGCGGAGUGUGAGGCGGAGACGCCGCGUGCGGGAUGACGUGUUUUGGGUUGUGAACCGCUUUGGACUGAGACGAAGCGUGAGUGACGGUAAUGGAUAAAGAAGCACCGGCUAACUACGUG
RNAcentral lists this ribosomal RNA (468 nucleotides) under uncultured bacterium. Its description in RNAcentral is "partial 16S ribosomal RNA". It matches the Rfam family "Bacterial small subunit ribosomal RNA", at positions 28 to 507 of the family's 1533-position model. The record is from RNAcentral.